GCAAGUCGAACGAGAACGGGUUAUAGCUUGCUAUAACUGUCAGCUAAGUGGCGCACGGGUGAGUAAUAUAUAGGUAAUGUGCCCUAGAGAAGAGGAUAACAGUUGGAAACGACUGCUAAUACCCCAUAUGCCUUUAAGUCAUAAGACUGCAAGGGAAUUAUUUAUAGCUCUAGGAUCGGCCUGUACGGUAUCAGUUUGUUGGUGAGGUAAUGGCUCACCAAGACUAUGACGCAUAGCUGGUUUGAGAGGAUGAUC
RNAcentral lists this ribosomal RNA (255 nucleotides) under uncultured bacterium. RNAcentral describes it as "partial 16S ribosomal RNA". It matches the Rfam family "Bacterial small subunit ribosomal RNA", at positions 57 to 305 of the family's 1533-position model. The record is from RNAcentral.